This 762-nucleotide long non-coding RNA is filed under the name Anas platyrhynchos platyrhynchos (common mallard). Its description in RNAcentral is "lncRNA (ENSAPLG00000025420.1)". The record is from RNAcentral. Lineage: Eukaryota; Metazoa; Chordata; Aves; Anseriformes; Anatidae.
AGAACAUUUGACCUCAGUCAGACACAUGGACAUAUGCUAGCAGUUGAGUAGCAUGAAAAAUCAGUGGUACAGGGACCUAGCAAAUGCCUUGGCCUGAUUUUCUAAUCUGUGCAUUUGUAUCCAAGGAGAAGAAGCAAAAAAAUCAGUGGGAGAGGAGGAGUCACCACAUGAAUGAUUCACUACACGGAGGAAAACAAUUAGGACACUGGACCAAGCAAGAGGCAGCUGAAACUGUGAACUCCUACCCGGUGGGAAGGUCAACGUGUGGUACUCCUUAUCUCCUGAAGACAAAAUAGUAAUAAAACAUGCAAGGGAAGAAGAAGGAAUGUAUGAAAUAGCAAGAGAGAGAAGUGGUGGAAGAGAUGAAGACAACAAGGUAUGCCUGCAGUAUCUCUUUCCCAAUACACAAGGAGGGAAGGAUGCAUUUUCAGGGUUAGGGAAGACCUCCAAAAUUCAUUUGCAAUCUCUUUAUGGCCUAUUUGCACCUGGCAGCAGGCACAGGGUGUUAAAUCCCAGCUUGGGACGUCUUCCAGAUGCCUACCAAGCAAGACAGCAUCCAGAAAAAAGGGCUGUUUUGAUGGUAAGUCCUCAAUGGAUUAGAUAAAUCCAAGAGGAUUUAAUGCCAGACAGCGCCAGCCCAAGGACCCCAUCAUCUCCCCGUUGGCAGCAGCUUGACCAUCACCUUGAAGAGGUGACAAGCAGCUCCCAGGGGACACGGUGCCACUGCCAAUCCACAGAGCAAAUCUGCAAAAGUGAGAGGAG